UCAGUCAACUUACCUGGUAAAAUAAUGGAUAACAUUUUUUAGGGAGAGGCAUGUGUAGCCAAGUGAUCAUAGGGUCCAAUGAGUAGCACUAGGUGAGUCUAGUGCCUCCCCCAAGAUCAAACUGACAUAAAAAAUCAAAUGAAAUGCAACCUACCAUGAUCAGAAAUCUCAACUAGCAAGCAAGUCUGGCAGGGGGAGAUUUUCUGCACAACACUCUUAUCAUUGCUGUCAACUGGAAUGAAUCCUUACCCAGAUCUUACUGUUGUUUUCAUUUGGCAGACUAAGCACUUCUCAUGAGCAUCUGUAUUUUUCCUAAUUCCCGUUCAAGAUACACCUACCUUGUGUGUUCAUACCGCCUUGUUUUUGAUACAGUUGACAUGCUGAUAUUACACAGAAAGGGGAAAAGACCUUUUCUGUGUAAUGUCAGCAUAUGAAUUAUAAAUUAUUUUCCCAAGCAGGAAGCUAUAUCAAAACCAUCUGUGAAGGCUGAAUGUGCCGACACUAAUCCUUUCUGUGCCAGGGAUGAAGUGGUUUUAUGCAAAGAAAACUCAACUGAAAAAUGAGAUAUCUUAAUGAAACCAUGAAAACUAUGUUCAAGCUGAAGAUAGCCGACAGGAACCCUCUAGUUCUGCCCCCCUGUUGACACAGACACGUAAACUCACCCACCACGCCUUACUGAAGACUGUGCUAUACAACAUUUGGCACAAAAAGACCAGACUGUGACAUCAGCCCCUCCAGCACAAGACUAUCAUCACUGAAUGAUCUUCAGCUGAAGAGGAACCCUCAUCCCUCCCAUCCUCGCACUGACUCAGAGGGCUGACCAGAUGAGCAGCAGGGACCAGACCUCAACACCAGCACCUUCCCACAAUCCCUAGCCCUUUCCUCAAAACCUGCUGCUGACACAAAAGUCCCAUUUGGACAUACAUCUGUUGACUCAACAAUUAUGAAUGGCACUCUGUUGCAGUAAUGACAACACUAGAAGAGCAGCACUAGAACAUCUUGAACUGCCUCCAUGCUUCCUUUGUUUACUCUAUCUCAGGGUAGACACAUUGGUGCUUGAGACAAUGCUUUGACUGUUGUCACCCUGCGAGGGGUGGGAAGGGGGACGAUUCUCAGCACCCUUUGUGUUAUUCCGUUCGCCCAUUUUAUUUAGGUCCAACACCUCCCCUUUUAAGGCUAAGCUGUGAUCUUACCAUAAAUCAUCAGCAGAUAGGACAAUAUUACUGCUAAUCUUGGUAGUGUAACCACCGGUUAACAUUCUUCAGAAGGUUCUCAUUUGUGGCUCACCCCUAGACCACUCUAUAUAUUGGAUAACCCCCCUCCCUAGAGAAAGUGAGCGUCCGGACGUAACGUGGGUUAGUUUAAAACGAUGACGUUAAAAUGUGGCAAACUGAGUACCUGAUUAUUAUUUGUGUGCUCAUUGCGUGACUGUCACAAGGCGUUUGGAAUGUUUGUUGACUGCAUCGACACAAGAGCUCAACUGUCUUAUGUGUCAUCAAGGCUGAUGAUGUUAUGGAGUUAAAUUGUCAAUGCAAUAAGUCAUGUUGACUCUAUCAUGUUACUUGUACUUUCAGAUGACUAAACAAAACAAUUGUCCUCCACUGCUAAUAAUGUCUGUUUGAAUAACCCAGAUACAAGGGAGUAAAAUAAAGCACCACUUAACGUA
Molecule: long non-coding RNA, 1666 nt
Organism: Oncorhynchus kisutch (coho salmon)
Lineage: Eukaryota; Metazoa; Chordata; Actinopteri; Salmoniformes; Salmonidae
Exons: 3
Source: RefSeq, a predicted model, not a curated record